GGUAUAUCCAAUCACAUGCGCAUGUUGCUGUGACGUGAUCUUGGAAGAAGGUCGUUGUGAUUUCAAAUUCUCCGUGGGACAAUCUGGGUUUGACGGCGUUCAAGAGCAGAGUUCUCUACAUUUGGCCCAACAGCUCAAAUUGAAACUAGAGCACAAGAUCAGAAUGAAGUUA
This is a long non-coding RNA of Anguilla anguilla (European eel), 172 nucleotides long. RefSeq lists it as uncharacterized. Lineage: Eukaryota; Metazoa; Chordata; Actinopteri; Anguilliformes; Anguillidae. The transcript has 2 exons. The record is from RefSeq and is a predicted model, not a curated record.